This is a non-coding RNA of Odocoileus virginianus texanus, 263 nucleotides long. Lineage: Eukaryota; Metazoa; Chordata; Mammalia; Artiodactyla; Cervidae. The record is from RefSeq and is a predicted model, not a curated record.
CUCGUUCCGGCUCCGUACCUCGGCGUCCAGGGCGCUCUGCAUCGUCUCUACGGUCCUCUGCUGGAUUCGGAGGAUCUUGGCCUCUUCGUGCUCAAGGGCGGCCUUUGAAGAACAAAAACAAAACAGAAAUGGUACCAGUGAUGGGACAGAGCCUGCUACACUCUUCUCUGGGGUAUUUGUCCACGUAGUUUGCUAGGAAAAGAACCAACAUGAGGACUGUGACUCUGCAGACCCCGAGGGGGCCCUGGCUGGAGCCCUGCCGU